UGGUUUAUAGACUUGGUUCAUGAUUCAUGAACUUGGUUCAUUUGGUUCAUGAACUUGGUGUACGGUUUAUGGGGUUUUGUUUAUAGUUCAUGAACUUGGUGUAUGGUUUAUGGGGUUUUGGUUCGUGGUUCAUGAACUUGGUUCAUAAGGUUAGGUAUGUGGGAUUUGGUUCAUGAACUUCGAUAUGGUUCAUGGGAUUCACAAACUUGGAUAAGCUUCAUGAACUUGGUUCAUAGUUUAUGGGAUUUGGUUUAUGAACUUGGGUAUGGUUCGUGGUGUUUGGUUCACGAACUUGGUUCGUGAUUUAUGGGACUUGGGUUCAUAAACUUGGGUAUGGUUCGUGGUGUUUGGUUCACGAACUUGGUUCAUGGUUUAUAGGAUUUGGUUCAUGAACUUGGAUAUGAAUCCUAGUUGGAAGUCGGGUUUGGGUUCUAUUUGUGGUCCGGAUUGGAUUUGAGUUUGGGAUUUUAUUUGUGGAUUGGAGUGGUUUUGGGUUUAUCUGUGGUCUGUAUUUGCUUUUGGGUUUUAUUUGUAGACUUGGUUUUAGUUUGGGGGAUUUGAUUUGGGUUUUCGGUUUGGGUUUUUUAUUUUGGUUUGAAUUUUAUUUGUGGACUUGACAUGGGUUUCGGGUUUGGGUUUUGUUUUUCAAUUUGGAUUUGGGUUUUGGUUUUGGUUUUUGAUUUGGGUUUUGGUUUUUUAUUUGUGGACUUGGUUUGGGUUUGGAUUUGGAUUUUAUUUGUGGACUUAGUUUUCUUUUCAAUUCUAUUUCGGGUCCGAGGAAAUCCUCUUUUGAUUUUGCAAUUUGAUUUGGGGUCCGAAGAAAUCCCUUUUUGAUUUUGUAAGUUGACUUGGGGUCCGAAGAAAUCCCCUUUUGAUUCUAAUUUGAUUUGGAUGCGAAAAAAUCCCCUUUUGAUUUCGCAAUUUAAUUUGGGGUCCGAAAAAAUCCUCGUUUGAUUUCGAUUUGGGGUCCGAAGAAAUCCCUAUUUGAUUUCGUAAUUUGAU
Molecule: long non-coding RNA, 1002 nt
Filed under: Ananas comosus (pineapple)
Lineage: Eukaryota; Viridiplantae; Streptophyta; Magnoliopsida; Poales; Bromeliaceae
Description: long non-coding RNA (ACOM_LNC036036)
Source: RNAcentral